GAUGAACGCUGGCGGCGUGCCUAAUACAUGCAAGUCGAGCGAACGGACGAGAAGCUUGCUUUUCUGAUGUUAGCGGCGGACGGGUGAGUAACACGUGGAUAACCUACCUAUAAGACUGGGAUAACUUCGGGAAACCGGAGCUAAUACCGGAUAAUAUUUUGAACCGCAUGGUUCAAAAGUGAAAGACGGUCUUGCUGUCACUUAUAGAUGGAUCCGCGCUGCAUUAGCUAGUUGGUAAGGUAACGGCUUACCAAGGCAACGAUGCAUAGCCGACCUGAGAGGGUGAUCGGCCACACUGGAACUGAGACACGGUCCAGACUCCUACGGGAGGCAGCAGUAGGGAAUCUUCCGCAAUGGGCGAAAGCCUGACGGAGCAACGCCGCGUGAGUGAUGAAGGUCUUCGGGUCGUAAAACUCUGUUAUUAGGGAAGAACAUAUGUGUAAGUAACUGUGCACAUCUUGACGGUACCUAAUCAGAAAGCCACGGCUAACUGCGUG
This 497-nucleotide ribosomal RNA is filed under the name uncultured bacterium. RNAcentral's name for it is "partial 16S ribosomal RNA". It matches the Rfam family "Bacterial small subunit ribosomal RNA", at positions 28 to 507 of the family's 1533-position model. The record is from RNAcentral.